AUGGGCUGCGCGCCCUCGCACGACGCCUUCAAGGCCACCGCGGCCGCCGCGGCCAGGGAGACGCUGCGCCGGGCCACGACGGGGGCCGCCGCCGCCUCGUCCUCGCGGCGGGCGCGGGGCCCCGCCGCGCAGUGCCGGCAGCGGGUGGCGCUGAUCCGGGCCGCGGCGGACAGGCGCUUCGCGCUGGCGGCGGCGCACGCGGCCUACUUCCGCUCGCUCGUCGCCGUUGGCGGCGCGCUGCGGCGCUUCGCCGCGGCCGCGCUGCUCCCGGCCACCCCCGACCCCGCCGCCUCGCCCGUGCUCACCCUUCCGCCGUCCCCCGACGCCAAGCCGCCGCAGCCCGCCGUCGCCUCCUCCUCCGCCGCCGCCGCGUCGAGCCUCCCGCCGUCCCCGGACUCCUCCUCCUCCACCGUCUCGCCCCUCUCCCACUCCCUCUCCGACUCCGACGACGACGAGAACAAGCACCUCCACGCGCUCGACCACUCCCGUCGCGCCCGCGUCCGCGGCCACGCGCCGCCCCCGACGACGCAGCACCACCGCCACCACAUGAGGAACUCCGCCACCGUGCCCACGGUGGUCUACGAGGACCCCUACGCCGAGUACGCCGAGGGCGCGGCCAGCUACGGCUACGGGUCCGCCUACACGUACGGCCCCUACGGCGAGCCGGUCGCGGAGGAGGCGAGGCCGCGCGGCCCGCCGCCCACGCCGCCGCCCCCGGAGGCCUCGCCGUGGGACUUCUUAGACCUCUUCACGCCCACGCCCUACGACCAGUUCCUGGAGGACUACCCGCGCGGCAUGCCCGGCGAGACCGCCGACGCGAAUCGGAAUCUGCCCACCAGCAGCCCCAAUUACGCCAAUUACGCCGAGCUGAGGAGGAUGGAGGGGAUCCCGGAGCUUGAGGACGAGUCUAAGCUGGAGCCGUCAACCUCGGCCGUCGUUCAAGAUCAGAACGUGAAGGGGAACAGACCAGCUCCUGGUCCUGCCACCAAUGCCGCCCCUCCCAAGGGCACCUCCUCCACUGAGGUGAAGCUGCAGAGCAAGGGAUCACCUGGUGCCAAUGCUGAGGCGAAUAAGCCGCUCUCAAGGAACGAUUCAGUGCCGAGCAAUGCCGGCUCCGAUACGAACAGCAAGAAAGGGGGCAGGAGCGAUGCAGUGAGCUUGAACGGCGCCAACUUUGGUGACAUUGCUGGCGGCAACUCCUCCGAGAACAACAAGAAGAAGAAGGGUGUACCAUUUGGUGAGAAUGGUGACAACAUUGUCGGCAGCAGCUCCACCGGGAAGAAGGGUGCUGCGGUUGAUGAGGCCGGGUCGAUUGUCGAUGCAGAUGGCGCUGGGGGGAGCCACGGCAAGUCAGUGCGGUCGGCCAUGACAGUGAGCAGCGAGUCCUUCUCGCCGUUGCACAAUGGGGAGAGAGAUGUCGUGGAGGCGAUGGAGGAGGUCAAGGAGCGAUUCGAGGAGGCGCUGCAUUGCGGCGAUGAGGUCUCCAGGAUGCUCGAGGUGGGGAAGGUGCCUCACCGGACGGCGCCUAAAGUUCUUAGAUAUUUCUCCUCCAGGGUGAUGGAGCCUAUGUCGCUUAGUGUGCCGUCCUCUUCUUACUGCGUUCCAAAGCGGGAAAGGCGCUCAAGGUUACCGAGCACUUCAGCUUCAUCGGCCAAUGGCGGAGGAAAUCGCAACGGAAGUCUCUGUUCAACUCUGGAGAAGCUCUGUGUAUGGGAAAAGAAGCUAUAUCAGGAGGUUAAGGAUGAAGAGAAGCUGAGGACUCUGUAUGAAAAGAAGUACAACAGGCUGAAGUCGCUAGACGAACAAGGGGCAGAGCCGGAUGCGAUAGAGACGGCCAGAUCGUCGGUGCGGGACUUGCGGUCGAAGAUCACCAUCAACAUCAAAACAGCCAAGGCUUUCUCGUCGAAGAUAGAGAAAAUUCGGGACGAAGAACUGUACCCUCAGCUCGUUGAUCUUAUCCAGGGAUUGCGGAGGAUGUGGAAAGCAGUUCUGGAAUGCCAUGAGAAGCAGCUGUCGGCCAUAAGGGACAGCAGGCUGCACCUGCUCAAGGCGAGGACCGUGAGCCAAUCCGCCGCCGCCACAUUGGCCACGCUGGAGCUGGAGAGGGAGCUCACGAAAUGGUACCGCUGCUUCAACAAGUGGACCAGCUCGCAGAGGUCUUAUGUGGAGGCACUGAAUGGAUGGCUGAGGAGAUGGUUCCCGGAGGUGCAGGACGAGCAAGACGCGCCGGACGGCGCCCCGCCUUUCUCCCCGGGCAAGCUCGGCGCCCGGCCGAUAUUCGUCGUGUCGAACGACUGGUUCCGGGCCAUCGAUCUGGUGCCCAAGAGCGACGCGCUGAAGUCGAUCGACUACUUCUACAAGCUCGUCCAUGAGCUCAGGAAGAGGCAGGAGGACGAGGACCGGCAGAAGAGGAAGGUCGACCACGCCUCCAGGGACUACAACAAAAGGCGCGAGGCCCUGCAGCGAGAGCUUGGCCCGGGCACGGGCACCGACAUGGUCACCCUCCCGGAGAACCGUGGUGAUCACACCGUCGAUCUGCACAAGAUGAGGAGGAAACUGGACAACGAGAUGGCCAAGCACGACGAGGUGGUGAGGCAUGUCCAUUUUGCGGCGUCGGCCACUCUGCCGGUCGGCUUCGUCCCCGCGCUGGAGCAGAUCGUCGGCUUCUUCCAUGGCAACCUGCAGGUCUACGCGCGCAUCAGGACCAACGGCGCCGGAGCUCACGGGGCGCCUACAGAGGUUCGCCGGCCACACCUUGGCUGA
RNAcentral lists this ribosomal RNA (2763 nucleotides) under Triticum aestivum (bread wheat). RNAcentral describes it as "partial small subunit ribosomal RNA". The record is from RNAcentral. Lineage: Eukaryota; Viridiplantae; Streptophyta; Magnoliopsida; Poales; Poaceae.